GACGAACGCUGGCGGCGUGCUUAACACAUGCAAGUCGAACGGAAAGGCCCUGCUUUUGUGGGGUGCUCGAGUGGCGAACGGGUGAGUAACACGUGAGUAACCCGCCCUUGACUUGGGGAUAACUUCAGGAAACUGGGGCUAAUACCGGAUAGGAGCUCCUGCUGCAUGGUGGGGGUUGGAAAGUUUCGGCGGUGGGGGAUGGACUCGCGGCUUAUCAGCUUGUUGGUGGGGUAGUGGCUUACCAAGGCUUUGACGGGUAGCCGGCCUGAGAGGGUGACCGGCCACAUUGGGACUGAGAUACGGCCCAGACUCGAACGGGAGACAGCAGUGGAAAGUAUUGCACAGUGGGCGGAAGCCUGAUGCAGCAACGCCGCGUGCGGGAUGACGGCCUUCGGGUGGUAAACCGCUUUCGCCUGUGACGAAGCGUGAGUGACGGUAAUAGGUAAAGAAGCACCGGCUAACUACGUG
RNAcentral lists this ribosomal RNA (468 nucleotides) under uncultured bacterium. Its description in RNAcentral is "partial 16S ribosomal RNA". It matches the Rfam family "Bacterial small subunit ribosomal RNA", at positions 28 to 507 of the family's 1533-position model. The record is from RNAcentral.